GUCUGGCUGGCUCAGUCAGUAGAGCGUGUGACUCUUGAUCUCGGGAUUGUGAGUUCGAGCCCACGUUGGGUG
RNAcentral lists this transfer RNA (72 nucleotides) under Ailuropoda melanoleuca (giant panda). It matches the Rfam family "tRNA". Rfam says of the family: Transfer RNA (tRNA) molecules are approximately 80 nucleotides in length. Their secondary structure includes four short double-helical elements and three loops (D, anti-codon, and T loops). Further hydrogen bonds mediate the characteristic L-shaped molecular structure. tRNAs have two regions of fundamental functional importance: the anti-codon, which is responsible for specific mRNA codon recognition, and the 3' end, to which the tRNAs corresponding amino acid is attached (by aminoacyl-tRNA synthetases). tRNAs cope with the degeneracy of the genetic code in two manners: having more than one tRNA (with a specific anti-codon) for a particular amino acid; and 'wobble' base-pairing, i.e. permitting non-standard base-pairing at the 3rd anti-codon position. Lineage: Eukaryota; Metazoa; Chordata; Mammalia; Carnivora; Ursidae. The record is from Rfam by way of RNAcentral.